This 348-nucleotide unclassified non-coding RNA is filed under the name soil metagenome. RNAcentral's name for it is "partial contains 5.8S ribosomal RNA, internal transcribed spacer 2, and large subunit ribosomal RNA". The stretch from base 1 to 120 matches the Rfam family "5.8S ribosomal RNA", at positions 35 to 154 of the family's 154-position model. The record is from RNAcentral.
GAUGAAGAACGUAGCAAAAUGCGAUAAGUAAUGUGAAUUGCAGAAUUCAGUGAAUCAUCGAAUCUUUGAACGCACAUUGCGCCCGCUGGUAUUCCGGCGGGCAUGCCUGUUCGAGCGUCAUUUCAACCCUCAAGCCCCCGGGUUUGGUGUUGGGGAUCGGCUCUGCCCUUCUGGGCGGUGCCGCCCCCGAAAUACAUUGGCGGUCUCGCUGCAGCCUCCAUUGCGUAGUAGCUAACACCUCGCAACUGGAACGCGGCGCGGCCAUGCCGUAAAACCCCAACUUCUGAAUGUUGACCUCGGAUCAGGUAGGACUACCCGCUGAACUUAAGCAUAUCAAUAAGCGGAGGA